AUACCUCAUAGCACUUUGAAUGGUCAGGAUGAAAGAAAGGCAGACAUACAUGUCCAUUCAUUAACGUAUGAGACAGGGCAGUUUUGAGAAGGUGAAGAAAAGUCUUCAGAACUGGACAUUUAAUGAAUACAGUCCAAAGAACUUGAGAUGUUAGGUGCUUUGACUCCUAAUCUACACAUUUUCUUCAAGUCUCUUCUGCCUGGCAGAGUCUCUAAAGUUCUGCUAUGAAUUUGUCAACAUUUGUCAUUUUAGUUCACACAGCCAGGGCAUCUAGAGCAGAUUCUAGUUUUUGCAGUUUUGCUAAAGCCCAAUACCCAUUUGUGCUGGUAGCUGUGGUAGGGAUGAUGCAGAAGGGAACAUGUGCAUCCUCACAAAAUGCUCCCCAAGGCAGCAACCCAGAGUCUAGCACUAGGUCUGUGCUUUGAACUCAUCUAAGACAGAGCAUGUCCAAAGAGUCAUAAUUUCAGGGUGACAAGAUUGGAGGUCAGUGCUCUAUUUUCCAGCUAAAUAAGGGAGUGAGAAGUUGAGAGCUGAUACCUUCCCCUCCUCUCCCUCACUUGCAAGCACUUUGCACUUUCUUGCUAAGGCCUCAGGCUCCAGAGGGGCCCAGGAAGGUCUUAGAACCCAGGGCAGAGAGCUGGGUUUUCCUAUGGUAGCCAGCAAGAGAUCUCAAGGAAGAAGGGAGGGAUGCGAGUGGCCCAGUCCUUAAUAACGUUCCUGCGGAUCUUUGUUUUCCUGAAGACUGGCUUGCGGACUGCAAGUAUGACUCCACUAGCAGCGAUGACGAAGACGACAAUCCAGGUCACCCUAUCACAGUCACCGCAAUGAUUCACUCAGAGGCGUUUUUCUCGGACUCAGAAGAGUCAGACGUAGAGAAUGGCAAUAUGCAUCUGUCUACACUCGUUGAGGAGGAGGAGUCUGUUUACAUCGACCUUCUUUUCCGGGAAUGCACAGAAGGAAUCAAUGAUGUGAAAAGAGAUGAAGAAGAGGAAGAAGAGGAAGAAGAGAUGUUAGUGUGGAGUAGUGGGUAGGAUGAAGAGGGAAGGGAAACAAGUCCACAUGCACUAACUUUCUUUGCCACUUCAGGAAAUUCAGCGUUCAUGAGGAGCUUGCUGGAGUGCCUGCACCUGUGUGUGAAUAUGGAGGCGGAGAUAGGAAUCUGAGGGGGAACAUGAGCACAGGCA
This 1184-nucleotide long non-coding RNA is filed under the name Dasypus novemcinctus (nine-banded armadillo). RNAcentral describes it as "lncRNA (ENSDNOG00000050791.1)". Lineage: Eukaryota; Metazoa; Chordata; Mammalia; Cingulata; Dasypodidae. The record is from RNAcentral.